This 463-nucleotide ribosomal RNA is filed under the name uncultured bacterium. Its description in RNAcentral is "partial 16S ribosomal RNA". It matches the Rfam family "Bacterial small subunit ribosomal RNA", at positions 28 to 507 of the family's 1533-position model. The record is from RNAcentral.
GAUGAACGCUGACAGAAUGCUUAACACAUGCAAGUCUUUGGCGAAGCUGUGCUUGCACGGCCUAGCCAAGGCGGACGGGUGAGUAACGCGUAAGGAACUUGCCCUGCAGUCAGGGAUAACAGACGGAAACGACUGAUAAGACCUGGUAAAGUCAGGCGGACUCAUGUCCAGCCUGAUGAAAAGAGAUGCUGCAGGAGAGCCUUGCGUCCUAUUAGCUUGUUGGUGGGGUAACGGCCCACCAAGGCGAUGAUAGGUAGCCGGCCUGAGAGGGUGGACGGCCACAAGGGGACUGAGAUACGGCCCUUACUCCUACGGGAGGCAGCAGUGGGGAAUAUUGGACAAUGGGGGCAACCCUGAUCCAGCAAUUCUGUGUGCACGAUGAAGGUUUUCGGAUUGUAAAGUGCUUUCAGCAGGGAAGAAAAAAAUGACGGUACCUGCAGAAGAAGCGACGGCUAAAUACGUG